UAUGCACCUUCGUGAGCGUCUCCC
RNAcentral lists this non-coding RNA (24 nucleotides) under Arabidopsis thaliana (thale cress). The record is from RNAcentral. Lineage: Eukaryota; Viridiplantae; Streptophyta; Magnoliopsida; Brassicales; Brassicaceae.